RNAcentral lists this ribosomal RNA (324 nucleotides) under uncultured Chloroflexota bacterium. RNAcentral describes it as "bacterial SSU rRNA". It matches the Rfam family "Bacterial small subunit ribosomal RNA", at positions 28 to 351 of the family's 1533-position model. Lineage: Bacteria; Bacillati; Chloroflexota. The record is from RNAcentral.
GAUUAACGCUGGCGGCGUGCAUAACACAUGUAAGUCGAACGAUGAUCUAUGCUAUUUAUAGCGUGGUGAUUAGUGGCGAACGGGUGAGUAACACGUAGGUGACCUGCCCCGAAGAAAGGAAUAACUCUGCGAAAGUGGAGCUAAUACCUUAUAUGGUCGGCUAUUCGUUUAGCCGACUAAAGCUCUGGCGCUUUGGGAGGGGCCUGCGGCCCAUCAGCUAGUUGGUAGGGUAAUGGCCUACCAAGGCGAGGACGGGUAGCUGGUCUGAGAGGACGAUCAGCCACAAUGGCACUGAAACACGGGCCAUACUCCUACGGGAGGCAG